Molecule: unclassified non-coding RNA, 253 nt
Filed under: uncultured Planctomycetia bacterium
Lineage: Bacteria; Pseudomonadati; Planctomycetota; Planctomycetia
Description: contains 16S-23S intergenic spacer region
Rfam family: Bacterial small subunit ribosomal RNA
Source: RNAcentral
GACGAACUGUGCAAACGUUGUUCGGAAUCACUGGGCUUAAAGGGCGCGUAGGCGGGCUGCCAGGUCUGAAGUGAAAACUUUCGGCUCAACCGGAAGAGUGCUUUGGAAACGGGCGGCCUCGAGUGAGGGAGAGGCAGAUGGAACUUCCGGAGGAGCGGUGAAAUGCGUUGAUAUCGGAAGGAACGCCGGUGGCGAAAGCGAUCUGCUGGACCUCUUCUGACGCUGAGGCGCGAAAGCCAGGGUAGCGAACGGG